This 1089-nucleotide long non-coding RNA is filed under the name Prunus persica (peach). Its description in RNAcentral is "long non-coding RNA (PPER_LNC006730)". Lineage: Eukaryota; Viridiplantae; Streptophyta; Magnoliopsida; Rosales; Rosaceae. The record is from RNAcentral.
UGAGACCUUAUAUUUGCAAAUCAAUGUCAUUUUCCUCUAUACUAUACUUCGUUGAUGUCUUUUAUACACUUUUGAAUCCUAGCAAAAGGGUCCUUAAUCCGACUGGACCAACUACUUUGCUUAAUUAUAAAAAUACAAGGAAAAAACAAAACAAAACCUUUGGUUACUUUUACUGUUGAGCAAACAAUAAACAUGUGGGGGUGAAGUGGAAAUGGAAAGUAAAAAAGAAAAAUAAAUAAAAAUUGCGAGUGCGUUUCUGAGUCCCAAAAGGAAAGAUGAAAAGAUUGCUAGUAUAAGAUUAGAAUUUAUAAUACAAGGGAAGGGUCUUAGAGAAAUUAUAAAAUACUACAUUAAUAUAAUUAUGUGAUAUGUGUUAUAAUAUAAAUAAAUUACAAUUUAUUUUCUCUCUUUUUAUAUUAUAAUACAUAUACAAAAUAUACUAUAUAGCCAUAGUUGAUAGCAUUUUAUAAUCACUCGUCUCGAACUCGAAGGGAGGGAGUGAUUUUGUGAGUUGUGUGGCGGCAAUUAGAAAACACAUCACAUGCAGCAGCAAAGCAGGCAAGCAGUUGACACAUAGAAAGUCGGUGUUUGACACGUCAAAAAGAGCACAUCACAUGCUCCUAUGCAUCAUCAUAUAUAUUCAUGGCAUGCCCUCAUCCUUCCUUAGUAAUCUUUUGUGCCCUAAAUUUCAGAAACUCUAAUUAUCUUAUUGUUGUUGUGUGAACGUACGUUUUGACUCUUUGAAAUUUAGGAGACUUGUUCAAUGUUGAGUAGGAUGAGCAGCAGAGUGAGGUGGCCUUUUUUUUGGAACUAACGUCACGUAAAUAUUUAACUUAUUAAUUUUUUUGUACGCGCUUCUGCGCAUGCGAUAGAUUUUUUUUUAAACAAAAUUUAAAUUUAUUUUAGAAUUAAAAAGAUAAUGAGUAGUAGUGUUUUUGAAAAAUGGGAUUUAUUAUAUGAUUUUUUUUUUAAUUUUAAUUUUUUAAUAUGAAAAUGUGUGAAUUUAUCAUAUUAUCCUCAUUUAAUUAAUAAUUUUAAUUCUUAAUGUUUGAAUUAACUAAGGAUAUUUUCUGAUAUUUUGAAUGUUUC